RNAcentral lists this ribosomal RNA (449 nucleotides) under uncultured organism. RNAcentral describes it as "partial 16S ribosomal RNA". It matches the Rfam family "Bacterial small subunit ribosomal RNA", at positions 333 to 796 of the family's 1533-position model. The record is from RNAcentral.
ACACUCCUACGGGAGGCAGCAGUGGGGAAUUUUACGCAAUGGGGGAAACCCUGACGUAGCGACACCGCGUGAGCGAAGAAGCCCUUUGGGGUGUAAAGCUCUGUCAGCUGGAACGAAAACAAUGACGGUACCAGCAGAGGAAGCAUCGGCUAACUACGUGCCAGCAGCCGCGGUAAGACGUAGGAUGCGAGCGUUGUCCGGAUUUAUUGGGCGUAAAGAGUUCGUAGGUGGUUUGUUAAGUUUGGUGUUAAAGAUCGGGGCUCAACCCUGGGACUGCACUGAAUACUGGCAGACUCGAGUGUGGUAGAGGCUAGUGGAAUUCCCAGUGUAGCGGUGAAAUGCGUAGAUAUUGGGAAGAACACCGGUGGCGUAGGCGACUAGCUGGGCCAUAACUGACGCUGAGGAACGAAAGCCAGGGGAGCGAAUGGGAUUAGAAACCCGGGUAGUCC